RNAcentral lists this long non-coding RNA (757 nucleotides) under Linum usitatissimum (flax). Its description in RNAcentral is "long non-coding RNA (LUSI_LNC002717)". Lineage: Eukaryota; Viridiplantae; Streptophyta; Magnoliopsida; Malpighiales; Linaceae. The record is from RNAcentral.
GCAACCAAUGACUGUAAGUUUUGGUUCCCAAGCUUUCUACUGAGUUUGAAACCAGAGGUUUUUGUUUCUGAGAGUAAAUCUGAGUUGAGUUGGACCAAAGUUUGAACCUUUUCACUGGCCAAUGCUAGACCCAUCAGUGUUUCUACAAGGAGGAAGCAAAUAAGAAAUGAUAGAGCCAUUUUGUCUGAAGCAAGUUUGGUGGGUUUUCCAGUGAGUUGUGGAAAGUUGAAGGCUUUUUGAUGUUCUUAUAUAUAGACCACUGGGAAUUUUCUGGAUCUGAAGAUGAAGGAGAUGCGGAAAUAUCCUGUUGUGAGAAUCCAGGUUUUUGUUUACUGGGUGAUAUAUGCUGUCUGCUGUACAAGGGGAAAUUGAUUGAAGAUGCACGUGGAAGCACUUUUGUUAAUACAAGUACGUGCAAGAUCAAGGGAACAGAGCUUUGUUUAAAGUUUAAACUAUUUGUGUUUGAUUUGCAUUACUGUGGUUAAGUUAUUGUGUGAGCUGUGAUUGUUGUCUGUUUUGAGUGUAGAUGAUUGGUUUGUUGAUUGAUAUCAGUGGGAGAAGCUGGUGAGAAGUUGCUUCAUUGUGUUAUGGGAUAUCUCAAAAAUCAUUGUCAAUCCGUGUGAGUCCUAUUUUUUAUUAUAGUGGAACUUUCGUCGCGGUUAUGUUUUAGUUUUAUGGAUCAGCUGACCGUUAAGAGCUUUAUUGACUACAUUAUGCUAAAAUAUAUUGAGUUAUGCUUGUUACGGUUAUGGGUUAA